Terrapene triunguis (Three-toed box turtle) is the source of this 1082-nucleotide long non-coding RNA. RefSeq lists it as uncharacterized. Lineage: Eukaryota; Metazoa; Chordata; Testudines; Emydidae. The transcript has 2 exons. The record is from RefSeq and is a predicted model, not a curated record.
UACAGGCAGCCACCUGCGCCCGUGUCUCUUCGGUGGACCCCUGCCCAUUCGUGUUCUCUCUCCCACCUCCACCAGUGGAGUGCUGUCACAUUCCCCCUCUCUCUCCUCUAGCCCUGUGCCAUCUUCCGUCUCUCUCUUUCUCUCUCUCUCUCUCUCUCUCUCUCUCCUACAGACUGUUGCUACAUCCCCUCUUUCCCUCUUAGCUGCAGGCUGCUGCCACAACCCACGCCGACUUUUUCACUCUUCCUCCUAUCCUGGGAUGGAGGCGAUGUAUUUAUCCUACACGUGCCGACGAAACUCCGACUGGGACGUUAGCACGGCUCUCCCCACCAUCCCCGCCAAGGAGCCCGGAGGACACAAACGGAGCUCAGCUCUUUGCCGCGAUGUGAGGACAGACGUUUGGACCUUGGGAGAGAGGACAAAGAGCGACACAAGCGAGGGUGUGGCCGUCCCACCGCUGGGACGCAUCUCUCCUCCUGCACAGCUACCCAGGAGGUGACGUCGGUGUCCACUUGGCUUCUGCCCCGCUUCAGAGCCUCAGCUCCUAGUACCUAGCCCGGGUCACGGCACUGCCCCUCCGCUCUGGCUGGGGUAGCCAGGUGCCUGCUUCCUUUGGAUGGUGGAAGAUGGGACCUUCCCCAGAGCUUAAGCUUUGGAGACUCACCAAGCACCUGCUAUGCAAAGCUCACAGCUCCUUCAAGGCCAGCUGCUCCCAAGAGGCAUCGCUGCAGGAGAUGCCAGAGUCAUCUUCCAGCAGGGGUCCCUGCUCUUUGGAAGCUCCCAUCUCCUCCAGUCCCACCCCAGCCGGCAUUACAAGAGAGGACAAUGGAAAGGUACCUUCUCCAGCAAGGUGGGUCUUGCUCUUCUCAGGCACACGGGUCCGUGUCACUUUGUAGCGGGAUUUUACAGGUUACCCGGCGCUGGGACCCAAGGUGAGAAUUCCACUGAACGGCUGCAGCCUUUUAAACGCUAGACAGCGAUUGUCUCUCCACCGCACCGGCCUUCGGGGAAGCGUCUGACACGCAGCGAGGGGUUCGCUGGUUUGAAUACGUUUCUAAUUAAAUGUGGAAAUGAUCAAACGG